Ameiurus melas (black bullhead) is the source of this 72-nucleotide non-coding RNA. NCBI's taxonomy places the organism in Eukaryota, Metazoa, Chordata, Actinopteri, Siluriformes, Ictaluridae. The record is from the annotation of a GenBank genome assembly.
GGAAUGGUGGUGUAGUGGUUAGCAUGUUUGCCUCACCUCUCUGCAUUGAGGGUUCAAUUCCCACAUGUUCUC